Molecule: ribosomal RNA, 585 nt
Filed under: Staphylococcus aureus
Lineage: Bacteria; Bacillati; Bacillota; Bacilli; Caryophanales; Staphylococcaceae
Description: bacterial SSU rRNA
Rfam family: Bacterial small subunit ribosomal RNA
Source: RNAcentral
GUUGGUAAGGUAACGGCUUACCAAGGCAACGAUGCAUAGCCGACCUGAGAGGGUGAUCGGCCACACUGGAACUGAGACACGGUCCAGACUCCUACGGGAGGCAGCAGUAGGGAAUCUUCCGCAAUGGGCGAAAGCCUGACGGAGCAACGCCGCGUGAGUGAUGAAGGUCUUCGGAUCGUAAAACUCUGUUAUUAGGGAAGAACAUAUGUGUAAGUAACUGUGCACAUCUUGACGGUACCUAAUCAGAAAGCCACGGCUAACUACGUGCCAGCAGCCGCGGUAAUACGUAGGUGGCAAGCGUUAUCCGGAAUUAUUGGGCGUAAAGCGCGCGUAGGCGGUUUUUUAAGUCUGAUGUGAAAGCCCACGGCUCAACCGUGGAGGGUCAUUGGAAACUGGAAAACUUGAGUGCAGAAGAGGAAAGUGGAAUUCCAUGUGUAGCGGUGAAAUGCGCAGAGAUAUGGAGGAACACCAGUGGCGAAGGCGACUUUCUGGUCUGUAACUGACGCUGAUGUGCGAAAGCGUGGGGAUCAAACAGGAUUAGAUACCCUGGUAGUCCACGCCGUAAACGAUGAGUGCUAAGUGUUA